UCGCAAGCGACGGGUCCAUCGGGAAGGU
Molecule: small RNA, 28 nt
Filed under: Bombyx mori (domestic silkworm)
Lineage: Eukaryota; Metazoa; Arthropoda; Insecta; Lepidoptera; Bombycidae
Description: ovarian small RNA-28547
Source: RNAcentral